UACGGAGGAGGCAAGCGUUAUCCGGAAUUAUUGGGCGUAAAGCGUCCGUAGGUGGUUUAGUAAGUCUGCUGUUAAAGCGCGGGGCUUAACUCCGUAUCGGCAGUGGAAACUACUAGACUAGAGUGUGGUAGGGGUAGAGGGAAUUCCCAGUGUAGCGGUGAAAUGCGUAGAUAUCGGGAGGAACACCUAUGGCGAAAGCAGGUUUCUGGGCCAUCACUGACGCUGAGCUGCGAAAGCUAGGGGAGCAAACAGG
Molecule: ribosomal RNA, 253 nt
Filed under: uncultured bacterium
Lineage: Bacteria
Description: partial 16S ribosomal RNA
Rfam family: Bacterial small subunit ribosomal RNA
Source: RNAcentral